Long non-coding RNA from Gallus gallus (chicken), 683 nucleotides. NCBI's taxonomy places the organism in Eukaryota, Metazoa, Chordata, Aves, Galliformes, Phasianidae. The record is from Ensembl.
AUGUUUCUGGACAGAGAUUGCAGCCCUUUGGAGCUGUUCCUGGUCGUUGGAAGGGGUUGUUUGCCCAUUAGUAGAGAGUUUCAGCACAUACUAGGAAAAAUGUCUUCUCUGAAGAAUGAUGAUCUUAGAAGCCUUUUCCACCCUUCGUGGUUCUUUGUGUGGUGGAAUUUGUUUCCUCUUCCAGCACUGAACGCCUUGGAGUACAGGGACCUGAAGGUUUGGCUGUUCUCACCUGGCCCUGUAGAAUGGUGGACUUCAGUUUUCCAAAGUAUUGUGAUUGGUGGCAGGAGUCUCAAAAUGGUGAUACGACCAAGUCUGGGUGAAGAUUCAAUUAUUAAAUAAUACGUGGAUCCUUUGAUCACAAAUGUGCUGUUUCAAGAUGAAGUUGCAUCUUUACCGUUGUUUCAAAAUUAUUGCAUGUUUAUUCCUGGACAGCUAAGUGUGUUUCCCUUAAGUAAUGAUAAAGCUAAUUUGUCCUUGGGUACAGAAACCAGCCUGUAACGUGCAGCAGUCAUUCAUCAGGUGUUAAUUCCCUAUAAUACUGUCAACAACAAACUUCUAAUAGCUGUAAGUACAUCUAAAACUGUGCCCAUCUACAGAUAUAGUGGGAAAGGUUGUUUUCAAAUUCAAGAAAAGUGCUAAAGAAUGCUAUUUGUCCAUAAUUAAAUAUUGAGGACUUUUGU